GAUGAAGAACGCAGCGAAAUGGGAUAAGUAAUGUGAAUUGCAGAAUUCAGUGAAUCAUCGAAUCUUUGAACGCACAUUGCGCCCCCUGGUAUUCCGGGGGGCAUGCCUGUUCGAGCGUCAUUUCACCACUCAAGCCUCGCUUGGUAUUGGGCAACGCGGUCCGCCGCGUGCCUCAAAUCGACCGGCUGGGUCUUCUGUCCCCUAAGCGUUGUGGAAACUAUUCGCUAAAGGGUGUUCGGGAGGCUACGCCGUAAAACAACCCCAUUUCUAAGGUUGACCUCGGAUCAGGGAGGGAUACCCGCUGAACUUAAGCAUAUCAAUAAGCGGAGGA
This 331-nucleotide unclassified non-coding RNA is filed under the name soil metagenome. Its description in RNAcentral is "partial contains 5.8S ribosomal RNA, internal transcribed spacer 2, and large subunit ribosomal RNA". The stretch from base 1 to 120 matches the Rfam family "5.8S ribosomal RNA", at positions 35 to 154 of the family's 154-position model. The record is from RNAcentral.